Small nuclear RNA from Cricetulus griseus (Chinese hamster), 103 nucleotides. The record is from Ensembl. Lineage: Eukaryota; Metazoa; Chordata; Mammalia; Rodentia; Cricetidae.
GCUGCUUCGGCAACACAUGUUUUAAAAAUUGGACUAAUACAGAGAAGAUCAGCAUGGCCCAUGCACUUGGUUUCUAAAGAACCUAGGUAAAUCCCUUACUGGU